AGGACACAUCUAAUUAUGAGGGGGAACAUAUAUUUGAAGGGUAGCAGAGUAGGCUCUACAGCGCCGAAAUGACCUUCUCACCCUUGUGUUCUCACUAUGUUGCUUUGGUGGGUCGACCUGGUUCCGACCCAGGCGGCCGGCGCACCCAGCCUUAACUGGCCAGGACGCCCGGCUAAGUGCCCGCCAGUAUACAAAACUCAAGAAUUCAUUUUGUGAAGAUCCCUGAUAUAUCAUUUAAUUGAUUAAAACUUUCAACAACGGAUCUCUUGGUUCUGGCAUCCAUGAAGAACAGCAGCGAAAUGCCAUAAGUAAUGUGAAUGGCAGAAUUCACAUGAAUCCUCCAAUCUUUGAACGCACAUUGCGCCCUCCGCUAUACCCGGAAGCAUGCCUUUUCCAACGUUCUUUUAACCCUUAAGCUCCGCUGGGUAUUUGGCAAACUCCGGUGCCCGAAGUGGCUUGAAGAACCUCGGGAAGGGGUUCUAAGCCGCGAAGGUGAUAAUAAAAUAAGCUCUCUGGGGAGCUUCUUGGGAAGGGCGCCGGACCAAGCAGACGGCUGUUAUAUUUGGCACAGUGGGACCUCGGAGCAGGGAGGGUACCCGUGUAAUUGAG
RNAcentral lists this ribosomal RNA (609 nucleotides) under Phyllosticta capitalensis. Its description in RNAcentral is "eukaryotic LSU rRNA". The stretch from base 247 to 402 matches the Rfam family "5.8S ribosomal RNA". Lineage: Eukaryota; Fungi; Ascomycota; Dothideomycetes; Botryosphaeriales; Phyllostictaceae. The record is from RNAcentral.